This 496-nucleotide ribosomal RNA is filed under the name uncultured bacterium. Its description in RNAcentral is "partial 16S ribosomal RNA". It matches the Rfam family "Bacterial small subunit ribosomal RNA", at positions 29 to 507 of the family's 1533-position model. The record is from RNAcentral.
AUGAACGCUGGCGGCGUGCCUAAUACAUGCAAGUCGAGCGAACAGACGAGGAGCUUGCUCCUCUGACGUUAGCGGCGGACGGGUGAGUAACACGUGGAUAACCUACCUAUAAGACUGGGAUAACUUCGGGAAACCGGAGCUAAUACCGGAUAAUAUAUUGAACCGCAUGGUUCAAUAGUGAAAGACAGUUUUGCUGUCACUUAUAGAUGGAUCCGCGCCGCAUUAGCUAGUUGGUAAGGUAACGGCUUACCAAGGCGACGAUGCGUAGCCGACCUGAGAGGGUGAUCGGCCACACUGGAACUGAGACACGGUCCAGACUCCUACGGGAGGCAGCAGUAGGGAAUCUUCCGCAAUGGGCGAAAGCCUGACGGAGCAACGCCGCGUGAGUGAUGAAGGUCUUCGGAUCGUAAAACUCUGUUAUUAGGGAAGAACAAAUGUGUAAGUAACUAUGCACGUCUUGACGGUACCUAAUCAGAAAGCCACGGCUAACUACGUG